UGGGGAAUAUUGGGCAAUGGGGGAAACCCUGACCCAGCAACGCCGCGUGAGGGAAGAAGGUUUUCGGAUUGUAAACCUCUGUUCUUGGAGAAGAGAAGGAGACGGUAUCCAAGGAGGAAGCCCCGGCUAACUACGUGCCAGCAGCCGCGGUAAUACGUAGGGGGCGAGCGUUGUCCGGAAUGAUUGGGCGUAAAGGGCGCGUAGGCGGCCGAGCAAGUCAGUAGUGGAAGUCCAAUUUUCAAGGUUGGAAGUGCUAUUGAAACUGCAGGGCUUGAGUGCAGGAGAGGUUAUCGGAAUUCCCGGUGUAGCGGUGAAAUGCGUAGAGAUCGGGAGGAACACCAGUGGCGAAGGCGGGUAACUGGACUGCAACUGACGCUGAGGCGCGAAAGUGUGGGGAGCAAACAGG
RNAcentral lists this ribosomal RNA (406 nucleotides) under uncultured prokaryote. RNAcentral describes it as "bacterial SSU rRNA". It matches the Rfam family "Bacterial small subunit ribosomal RNA", at positions 355 to 776 of the family's 1533-position model. The record is from RNAcentral. RNAcentral also lists the same sequence under 1 other name.